Molecule: ribosomal RNA, 498 nt
Filed under: uncultured bacterium
Lineage: Bacteria
Description: partial 16S ribosomal RNA
Rfam family: Bacterial small subunit ribosomal RNA
Source: RNAcentral
AUUGAACGCUGGCGGCAUGCCUUACACAUGCAAGUCGAACGGUAACAGGUCUUCGGAUGCUGACGAGUGGUGAACGGGUGAGUAAUACAUCGGAACGUGCCUAGUAGUGGGGGAUAACUACUCGAAAGAGUGGCUAAUACCGCAUGAGAUCUACGGAUGAAAGCAGGGGAUCGCAAGACCUUGUGCUACUAGAGCGGCCGAUGGCAGAUUAGGUAGUUGGUGGGAUAAAAGCUUACAAAGCCGACGAUCUGUAGCUGGUCUGAGAGGAGGAUCAGCCACACUGGGACUGAGACACGGCCCAGACUCCUACGGGAGGCAGCAGUGAGGAAUUUUGGACAAUGGGCGAAAGCCUGAGCCAGCAAGGCCGCGUGCAGGAUGAAGGCCUUCGGGUUGUAAACUGCUUUUGUACGGGACGAAAAGCCCUGGGUUAAUACCCUGGGGUCAUGACGGUACCGUAAGAAUAAGCACCGGCUAACUACGUGCCAGCAGCCGCCGUAA